This 74-nucleotide transfer RNA is filed under the name Candidatus Helarchaeota archaeon. RNAcentral's name for it is "tRNA-Tyr". It matches the Rfam family "tRNA". From Rfam's summary of the family: Transfer RNA (tRNA) molecules are approximately 80 nucleotides in length. Their secondary structure includes four short double-helical elements and three loops (D, anti-codon, and T loops). Lineage: Archaea; Promethearchaeati; Candidatus Helarchaeota. The record is from RNAcentral.
CCCCGCGUAGUUUAGACUGGUAGAGCGCCUGGCUGUAGACCAGGAUGUCGCUGGUUCAAAUCCGGCCGCGGGGA